ACCCCGGGUGUUACAGGCAGCACCACGCACCUCACAAAUCUUUCUGUCAGCUGACGUACAAAAUCAAAAAUCUCAUUCCAGUUCGUUGCCACGCUCCCAGACCUGAAAGGGAAAACCACAGCAUAUAAGCGGCCUGAUCUCGGGUGACAUUUCGGGGAGAAGCUUACAAUAUUCGCUGUUCCAAACACCUGGAGUCACGGCCAGCCCGGCUGGGAUCGGCAUUCGCCGGCCGUGGAGGUGAAUCAGACACAUUGUCUGCUCCAAAAAGGAUCUUGAGGCUCUUCCCUCUGCAAGAGGAGAUGGGGAAGUCAGAGUCACAGUCAUCCUGCCGGAGAGUUUUCCUUUCAUCCGAUUUCAUCCCGUUUCCUGCCGUCUCUGGAUGGUUUCCUGAAGCCACAGUGCUCUGACCUGACACGUCCAUGUCAGAGUGCCUUCUCUGUGCAGAUCUGAACGCCAAGCAUCUGUGUGAUGAUAUGAACCACACAUGGAAGUCUCAUGCUUUGUAAAAAGAUAGAGAAAUCAGAAGGACCCCAGCAGUUAUACAACGUGCAGGAGCUGUUUGGAAGCUGCCUCCUGAAGGAUUAGGUACAAAUCCUUUUUCCUUUACAGCUGUAGCCUCAUGUCUGUGCUCAUCCUGCAAAGCAGUGUAGAAAUGAAUA
Molecule: long non-coding RNA, 659 nt
Organism: Myiozetetes cayanensis
Lineage: Eukaryota; Metazoa; Chordata; Aves; Passeriformes; Tyrannidae
Exons: 3
Source: RefSeq, a predicted model, not a curated record